UCAUCCCACCGAUACUCCUCAUCCCCUUCUGAGCUGCUUGAAAGCUUCCUCCUCUGUUUACGUUUCCUCAAGUAUUCCUCAUCAUAUACAGCUUCUCCAACUAUGUCAUCAUCACUGUCGAAGUCUGCUUCAUUAUCAGAAACUGCUUCAACAAACUCUUUUGCUGAAUACCGUUGAGGCCUCUGCCUUCGCCUAUUGCUUCGGUCCAAUAAUUCAGGUUUAUUCUCUUCAUCAAUAUCAUCAUAACUGGGUGAAUUGGGGUUUGUCAAACUGAAGGUGUCAUGUUCAAAGACAUGUGAAGGACCACUCCAUCUACCAUUUGUUGAAGCUUCAGGUUUGAUAAUACCUUCUCUUCUGUGAAUAGGCUCUGGGGAUGGUGGUUUUCGCUUGGUUAUUUUAAUAGCCUCAUUGAUUGACCGGUCAUAAUCAUCAAAAGUAUAAGUAACAGGUUUUCUGUCACGAAGUGAACGUCCUAA
This 476-nucleotide unclassified non-coding RNA is filed under the name Hevea brasiliensis (rubber tree). Lineage: Eukaryota; Viridiplantae; Streptophyta; Magnoliopsida; Malpighiales; Euphorbiaceae. The record is from RNAcentral.